GAUGAACGCUGGCGGCGUGCCUAAUACAUGCAAGUCGAGCGAACAGAUGAGGAGCUUGCUCCUCUGACGUUAGCGGCGGACGGGUGAGUAACACGUGGAUAACCUACCUAUAAGACUGGGAUAACUUCGGGAAACCGGAGCUAAUACCGGAUAAUAUAUUGAACCGCAUGGUUCAAUAGUGAAAGACGGUUUUGCUGUCACUUAUAGAUGGAUCCGCGCCGCAUUAGCUAGUUGGUAAGGUAACGGCUUACCAAGGCAACGAUGCGUAGCCGACCUGAGAGGGUGAUCGGCCACACUGGAACUGAGACACGGUCCAGACUCCUACGGGAGGCAGCAGUAGGGAAUCUUCCGCAAUGGGCGAGAGCCUGACGGAGCAACGCCGCGUGAGUGAUGAAGGUCUUCGGAUCGUAAAACUCUGUUAUUAGGGAAGAACAAAUGUGUAAGUAACUAUGCACGUCUUGACGGUACCUAAUCAGAAAGCCACGGCUAACUACGUG
This 497-nucleotide ribosomal RNA is filed under the name uncultured bacterium. Its description in RNAcentral is "partial 16S ribosomal RNA". It matches the Rfam family "Bacterial small subunit ribosomal RNA", at positions 28 to 507 of the family's 1533-position model. The record is from RNAcentral.